GGCUUUUUGUAAAAAUUUUAAGGUUUAGCCUGCUCGCUGAUAUUUUAAAGGGCCGCGGUAUUUUGACCGUGCUAAGGUAGCAUAAUCMUUAGUUUCUUAAUUAGAAGCUGGAAUGAAUGGUUGGAUAAAAAAAAAACUGUUUCUAGUUAAUUUAUAAUGAAUUUUAUUUUUAAGUUAAAAAGCUUAAAUAACGUUAAAAGACGAGAAGACCCUAUAGAGUUUAAUAUUAUUAUUAUUUAAAAAUUUUAUGAUUAUUAUUUUUUGAUUGAUGAUAUUAUUUAAUUGGGGUGAUUGAAAAAUUAAAAGAACUUUUUUUUUAUUAAACAUUAAUUUAUGAAUAUUUGAUCCAUUAUUUAUGAUUAUAAGAUUAAAUUACCUUAGGGAUAACAGCGUAAUUUUAUUGGAGAGUUCUUAUCGAUAGUAAAGUUUGCGACCUCGAUGUUGGAUUAAAGUUAAUAUUUGGGGUAAAGGCUAAAAUAUUAGGUCUGUUCAACCUUUAAAACUUUACAUGA
RNAcentral lists this ribosomal RNA (512 nucleotides) under Ceroplesini sp. IBE JGZ-3738. Its description in RNAcentral is "partial large subunit ribosomal RNA". The record is from RNAcentral. Lineage: Eukaryota; Metazoa; Arthropoda; Insecta; Coleoptera; Cerambycidae.